AUUCAUCACGAGGUUAAGAAAAAAACGUAUAAGCAAGGAGCACAGAAUUUUUUUGAAAUCAAAUUUGAGUUAUGAGGUCUUCUACUUUGCUUGUAGUUUCUUGUGUGCUCAUGUUCUUCAUUAGUAAUCAUGCUAAAGUUGUGGCGGAAGAGCAUAAGCGUGAAAUUACUAAAUGGUUUGCUGGAGUUUGUGGUCCUAACGGAAGCAAGACUUGCGCAGACGCCAUGAAAGAGUCCCAAUACUAUCCUCGUUGCGAUUGUAGAGAUGACCAUUUUCCAACUGGACAUUACUGCAUGUGUUUUUAUAGUUAUUAUCCUUGAUAAGAUUUACUAAAUCUCUAUUACCAAAAGCAAUUAAUUAA
Molecule: long non-coding RNA, 361 nt
Organism: Eutrema salsugineum
Lineage: Eukaryota; Viridiplantae; Streptophyta; Magnoliopsida; Brassicales; Brassicaceae
Exons: 2
Source: RefSeq, a predicted model, not a curated record